CUUGGUCAUUUAGAGGAAGUAAGAGUCGUAACAAGGUUUCCGUAGGUGAACCUGCGGAAGGAUCAUUACAGUGUUCGCUGCCCUCUGGGUAGCAAACCUCACCCUUUGCGUAUUAUAUAUUUGUUGCUUUGGCACGCCGCCCUCUAGGCACCGGCUCCGGCUGGCUCGCGCGUGUCAGAGGACCUUAAACUCUGAAUGUUAGUGUCGUCUGAGUACUAUCUAAUAGUUAAAACUUUCAACAACGGAUCUCUUGGUUCUGGCAUCGAUGAAGAACGCAGCGAAAUGCGAUAAGUAAUGUGAAUUGCAGAAUUCAGUGAAUCAUCGAAUCUUUGAACGCACAUUGCGCCCGGUGGCAUUCCGCCGGGCAUGCCUGUUCGAGCGUCAUUUAAACCAAUCCAGCCUCGUGCUUGGGUCUUGGGCCUUUCGCCUCUGGGCGGGCCUCAAAAUCAGUGGCGGCGCCUCCUGGCUCUACGCGUAGUAAUACUCCUCGCUAUAGAUGUCUGGUGGUGUCCUGCCAAAACCCCCAUAUUUUUUAAGGUUGACCUCGGAUCAGGUAGGGAUACCCGCUGAACUUAAGCAUAUCAAUAAGCGGAGGA
This 596-nucleotide ribosomal RNA is filed under the name uncultured Helotiales. RNAcentral's name for it is "eukaryotic LSU rRNA". The stretch from base 231 to 384 matches the Rfam family "5.8S ribosomal RNA". Lineage: Eukaryota; Fungi; Ascomycota; Leotiomycetes; Helotiales. The record is from RNAcentral.